This 257-nucleotide long non-coding RNA is filed under the name Nicotiana benthamiana. Its description in RNAcentral is "long non-coding RNA (NBEN_LNC015450)". Lineage: Eukaryota; Viridiplantae; Streptophyta; Magnoliopsida; Solanales; Solanaceae. The record is from RNAcentral.
CCAUAACCACUACCCGAGAAGGGAGUGGGAACAAGUGAUACCCCAGGGACAUCAGACGAGUACACAAAAAGGGGACUAGAAGAAUCUACAACAGUAGAGGCACCAGUGUUUGUGCUAGAAGCCAUAAUGAACCGGCUUAAAUGAAUAACUUUUCAACAAACAGAAUACUACCAAAACAGGUAUUCAAACACAGCAACCAACAAACAAACUACAGUCAAAUUAAGUAUUCACGGACACCACCAUAUGCUCACAAUUAC